GCUCCGCCUGCGGUACGUGCUCCCGCCUCCGACUCAAAAUGCCUGUCUGGGGAGGUGGAAACAAGUGUGGGGCCUGUGGGAGGACCGUGUACCACGCAGAAGAGGUGCAGUGUGAUGGCAGGAGCUUCCACCGCUGCUGCUUUCUCUGCAGUAAGUAGCUCCACAUGCUCCACCUUUGACGGAAUUUGUAUGUA
Molecule: small RNA, 194 nt
Filed under: Pongo abelii (Sumatran orangutan)
Lineage: Eukaryota; Metazoa; Chordata; Mammalia; Primates; Hominidae
Description: retained intron
Source: RNAcentral